UUAACUAAUCGUGAGGUCAUGCUCCUGUCCGCUAUGUACAGGCCGCGGGAAUUCGAUUUUAGCUUGGGAUAUCGCGAUAGGACGUGCGGCUCUAUUUUGUUGGAUUCCAGGACCGCCGUAAUGAUUAAUAUGGACAGUUGGGGGGAUCCCUAAUCCACAGUUAGAGGUGAAAUUCUUGGAUCUGCGGAAGACUAACUGCUGCGAAAGCGUUUGUCAAAGAUGUUUUCAUUAAUCAGGAACGAAAGUCAGGGGAUCGAAGGCGAUCAGAUACCGUCGUAGUCUUGACCAUAAACUAUGCCGACUAGGGAUCGGGCGAUGUUAUAUUUUGACUCGCUCGGCACCUUACGAGGAAUCAAAGUGCUUGGGCUCCAGGGGGAGUAUGGUCGCAAGGCUGAAACUUAAAGAAAUUGACGGAAGGGCACCACCAGGGGUGGAGCCUGCGGCUUAAUUUGACUCAACACGGGGAAACUCACCAGGUCCAGACACAAUGAGGAUUGACAGAUUGAGAGCUCUUUCUUGAUUUCGUGGGUGGUGGUGCAUGGCCGUUCUUAGUUGGUGGAAUGAUUUGUCAUAUUUAUUUCGAUAACGAACGAGACCUUCCUUGUUAACUAGCCCGCAUUGCUUCUGGCUGUGCGCUUCUUCUUAGCGUGAUUAUUGACGCGAAAUAAAGGAAGUUGCA
Molecule: ribosomal RNA, 679 nt
Filed under: uncultured fungus
Lineage: Eukaryota; Fungi
Description: bacterial SSU rRNA
Rfam family: Eukaryotic small subunit ribosomal RNA
Source: RNAcentral